RNAcentral lists this non-coding RNA (158 nucleotides) under Parcubacteria group bacterium CG1_02_44_65. Its description in RNAcentral is "6S RNA". It matches the Rfam family "6S / SsrS RNA". From Rfam's summary of the family: E. coli 6S RNA was the first non coding RNA to be sequenced, but its function was unknown until recently. It consists of 184 nucleotides that fold into an extended hairpin structure with a large single-stranded internal bulge. The 6S RNA specifically associates with RNA polymerase holoenzyme containing the sigma70 specificity factor. RNAcentral also lists the same sequence under 3 other names. The record is from RNAcentral.
AGCUGGCUUUGCUGUUCAAGAUUUUUCUUUAAGAUUUCGGCUAAGUCAUUUUUAAAGGGAGUCCUACAUUGCUUAUCGCCGUGGCGGUGAGUUGCGGACACCCACUUGGAAAUUUGGCGAAAAUCUUAUUGGAAUCCUCUUGGCAGCGAGGCCUUUAU